Long non-coding RNA from Leucoraja erinaceus (little skate), 691 nucleotides. RefSeq lists it as uncharacterized. The transcript has 2 exons. NCBI's taxonomy places the organism in Eukaryota, Metazoa, Chordata, Chondrichthyes, Rajiformes, Rajidae. The record is from RefSeq and is a predicted model, not a curated record.
GAGCUCGCUAUAGGAUCUUUGGGCUAGAAUGUCGUCCCUCCCCCGGCGAGAAGAAUGACGCCAAAGGGCGGAGGGCGAGAGAGAGAAAGAGAGACGCCGGCGCUCUCUACCUGGGCACGCCUCCGACAACGCAACGCAGCAUAACCAAGGACCAGAGAUAGACACAAAAUGCCGGAGUAACUCAGCGGGACGGGCAGCAUCUCUGGAGAGAAGGAAUGGGUGACAUUUCGCGUCGGGACCCUUCUUCAGAGUGGUUAGGAAUAAGGGAAACGAGCGAUAUAGGCGCUAUAGAUGUGGAGAGAUAAAGAACAACGAAUGAAUGAAUGAAAGAUCAACGAUCAGUCUCAUCCCAUCUUCUCCCAUCAGGCAAGGGUAGAGAAGUGUGAAAACGUACACCUCCAGAUUCAGAGACAGUUUUUUGUUCCCAGCUGUUAUCAGGCAACUGAACCACCAACCAAAGAACGGUCCAGAGCUCCCAUCUACAUCACUGGAGACCCUCAGGCUAUCUUUAAUCUGACUUUUCUGGACUUUAUCUUGCACUAAACGUUAUUCACAUCAUUAUCCGGCAUCAGUGCACUGUGGAUGGCUCUAUUGUAAUCAUGCAUAGUCUUUCCGCUGACUGGUUAGCAUGCAACAAAAGCUUUUCAUUGUACCUCGGUACACGUGACAAUAAAUUACUCAAACUGCUGUA